AUGUUCAGAUUAGAACAAUGAAAAACUCAUUUUAGUAGCUGUCUAGGUGCUUGUACUCAACUAAAUGAAAGUUAAAAAAUGGACAAAACUGAGGAAAGAUUAACUGGGACACUUCUUGAACAUGGUAACAGAGAUGCCUAUCCUAUGAUGGACAGGAGAAUCUACAAAUUAGAUGGCUAAACGAAAAUAUGGAGAGGAGAGGCUAAACGGAAGCAAGGGAGGAAAACGAUAUGCAUAAAGCCAGUGAUGUUGUUAAUGAGCAUAUGAUGCUAUAAAUACAGUGACAGCAUUGUUUUACAAGAAAUUAAAGAGGGAGGUAAUGAAAUCCAAACAACAGGAAACAGAAUUAAUUGACUAGCAGAUAAGCAACAAAAACACUUCUAGAAUAAGAUAACACAUGAAAUCUAGGAUAAAACAAGCUUAAUGAGGAACAUCACUUUUCCUCAUUCCUAAGAUCUGUAGAUGCAUGCCUUUCAGUCAUAGAGGCAUACAUGUGCAAGGAUCAUCCAGUGCUUCAGCAAUUUCAUGGAACAGAGACUACAGAGUGCAGCAGCGAGCUACUAACAAGCUCAUUUAACCAUUGGGUAGCCUAUGAUUGGAUAGUAGUUCUUGGGCACAUCUAACAAUAAAAAGGCUCGAGUAAGGUCAAAUCCCUAUCUCAAUCACAGUUUCCGGAACUUGCAAGUAAAACAGGUUUGUCUACAAAUCCAAAAAUAUUCGCUCAAUGAGAAUACUAUACUUAGGGGACCAGUGCAUGACAACCUAGGUUCGGUUUCACAAGCUCAUUUCAGGCACUAGCUACAUUUGCAUUCACAUUGUCAUCACAAAGUAACAUCAAAAAAUCAUGAAAGCAGUAGUUGGAUGCAUCCAACAAUAGAAAGGCCUGCUUCGCUUGAAAUCCUUCUCUCAUCACUCAGAUUGUGAAAAUUACAGAAAAACAAGUUUUUUUGGAAAGCAGAUAAAUAUUCUCUUGACAAGAAUAUUGGGAUUUCUACAACAUGCUUAAUGGAAAAUAUAAACCAUUGCUACAGUCCAUUUGCAUAUUCGAAGAAAACAACAACUUGAGCAUCUCAUAUAAUGAUUUGAAAAUGCCAACUCGAGAAUCAAAAGGUUGCCAUGCAUAGCAACCUCACAAGCUUCCAAACAAAUUAUAAAAAUAUCAGGCAUGUUAUGGUCCAAUAUGCAAUUGACUCACAGCAUGAGACUGAAGAGUAAAUAGCACUGGAUCCACACAUCCAUUCAUACAUAGUAAAUAGAAAUAAUGUUUAAACAC
This is a long non-coding RNA of Populus euphratica (Euphrates poplar), 1273 nucleotides long. RefSeq lists it as uncharacterized. The record is from RefSeq and is a predicted model, not a curated record. The transcript has 2 exons. NCBI's taxonomy places the organism in Eukaryota, Viridiplantae, Streptophyta, Magnoliopsida, Malpighiales, Salicaceae.